RNAcentral lists this ribosomal RNA (497 nucleotides) under uncultured bacterium. RNAcentral's name for it is "partial 16S ribosomal RNA". It matches the Rfam family "Bacterial small subunit ribosomal RNA", at positions 28 to 507 of the family's 1533-position model. The record is from RNAcentral.
GAUGAACGCUGGCGGCGUGCCUAAUACAUGCAAGUCGAGCGAACAGAUGAGGAGCUUGCUCCUCUGACGUUAGCGGCGGACGGGUGAGUAACACGUGGAUAACCUACCUAUAAGACUGGGAUAACUUCGGGAAACCGGAGCUAAUACCGGAUAAUAUAUUGAACCGCAUGGUUCAAUAGUGAAAGACGGUUUUGCUGUCACUUAUAGAUGGAUCCGCGCCGCAUUAGCUAGUUGGUAAGGUAACGGCUUACCAAGGCAACGAUGCGUAGCCGACCUGGGAGGGUGAUCGGCCACACUAGAACUGAGACACGGUCCAGACUCCUACGGGAGGCAGCAGUAGGGAAUCUUCCGCAAUGGGCGAAAGCCUGACGGAGCAACGCCGCGUGAGUGAUGAAGGUCUUCGGAUCGUAAAACUCUGUUAUUAGGGAAGAACAAAUGUGUAAGUAACUAUGCACGUCUUGACGGUACCUAAUCAGAAAGCCACGGCUAACUACGUG